This 232-nucleotide long non-coding RNA is filed under the name Gossypium barbadense (sea-island cotton). Its description in RNAcentral is "long non-coding RNA (GBAR_LNC012520)". The record is from RNAcentral. Lineage: Eukaryota; Viridiplantae; Streptophyta; Magnoliopsida; Malvales; Malvaceae.
UCGAAUAUAAUUUUGUAUAUUAAUGAGUAAUGCAUGUGUUGAAUUGAUGGAAUGGAGAGGAUGUUUUAAUAGUGCAUAUAUGUGUAUUAGCCAAGUUUUGAACUUGAAACAAAAUGGUAUUUGGUCAAUACAAGUGACCAUACUUGUAGAAUGUAUUAAGUAUGCAAUCGGCCUCAACAUAGACAUGCAUGUUCGGCCACACGAAUGAAUGCAUAGAUUGAUGUUGUACAUU